UAUCUCUGUAGAGUCUGCAUAUCAAUAAGCGGAGGAAAAGAAACUAACAAGGAUUCCCUUAGUAACGGCGAGUGAAGCGGGAAGAGCUCAAAUUUGAAAUCUUCAAGGUUCUACCUUGACGAAUUGUAGUUUAAAGGAAGUGUUUUCUGUUAGAUGAGUAGCAAAAGUUCCUUGGAAUGGGACAUCAUAGAGGGUGAGAAUCCCGUAUUUGGUUAUUCAUUCUAGCUUUGUGAUACACUUUCAAAGAGUCGGAUUGUUUGGGAAUGCAGUCCAAAAUGGGUGGUAAAUUUCAUCUAAAGCUAAAUAUUGGCGAGAGACCGAUAGCGAACAAGUACCGUGAGGGAAAGAUGAAAAGAACUUUGAAAAGAGAGUUAAACAGUACGUGAAAUUGUCAAAAGGGAAGCGUUUGACACCAGUGUUGUUUUUCCGAAAAUCAAUUACGAAUGGCUUGAUUUUGUGUUGUAUUGACCUUAUCAGCUUUCUGCACUUUUUUCGAGUCUUUCUUAAUGCACCUUUCGGUUAACAAGUCAACAUCAAUUUCUUUUGUUGUAAAAGAGUAUUCGGAAGGUGGCUUUCUUUUCGGAGAAAGUGUUUAUAGCCCUAUACUUCUACAAUCGGAGAGAUUGAGGUCUGCAGCGUAGAUCCUUCGGGGUUAGAUACAUUUGUGCUAAGUUGUAGCUUUUCAUAGACAACUUGUUGACUAUGUUUAGUCAUGCGGCUUACUCGCUUAUGCUAUUUUACCUACGCUUAGGAUGUUGACUGAUAUGUAGUCGU
This 774-nucleotide ribosomal RNA is filed under the name uncultured Neocallimastigales. RNAcentral's name for it is "partial large subunit ribosomal RNA". It matches the Rfam family "Eukaryotic large subunit ribosomal RNA", at positions 24 to 643 of the family's 3401-position model. The record is from RNAcentral. Lineage: Eukaryota; Fungi; Neocallimastigomycota; Neocallimastigomycetes; Neocallimastigales.